Molecule: ribosomal RNA, 579 nt
Filed under: uncultured bacterium
Lineage: Bacteria
Description: bacterial SSU rRNA
Rfam family: Bacterial small subunit ribosomal RNA
Source: RNAcentral
GAGUUUGAUCAUGGCUCAGGAUGAACGCUAGCGGCAGGCUUAACACAUGCAAGUCGAGGGGUAUAGUUCUUCGGAAUUAGAGACCGGCGCACGGGUGCGUAACGCGUAUGCAAUCUACCUUUCACAGAGGGAUAGCCCAGAGAAAUUUGGAUUAAUACCUCAUAGUAUAACGACUCCGCAUGGAGAUGUUAUUAAAGUCACAACGGUGAAAGAUGAGCAUGCGUCCCAUUAGCUAGUUGGUAAGGUAACGGCUUACCAAGGCUACGAUGGGUAGGGGUCCUGAGAGGGAGAUCCCCCACACUGGUACUGAGACACGGACCAGACUCCUACGGGAGGCAGCAGUGAGGAAUAUUGGACAAUGGGCGCAAGCCUGAUCCAGCCAUGCCGCGUGCAGGAUGACGGUCCUAUGGAUUGUAAACUGCUUUUGCACAGGAAGAAACAACGCUACGUGUAGCGUCUUGACGGUACUGUGAGAAUAAGGAUCGGCUAACUCCGUGCCAGCAGCCGCGGUAAUACGGAGGAUCCAAGCGUUAUCCGGAAUCAUUGGGUUUAAAGGGUCCGUAGGCGGUUUAGUAAGUC